GCGUGACCCGUUUUGUCAAGCUUUUAUUAAGUUGGCACAAGUUUGAACUAGCCAUCUAGUUCCGCUGGUGGGAAAACGAAUGGGACUCAUGAGCUGUAGCGAUGACCUAUUGCGUGCAGAGGGAAUUUGAAAGACAACCGAUUAUCCCGCCCCUCGGACUGAGCACUGCCAACAGUG
Alosa sapidissima (American shad) is the source of this 177-nucleotide long non-coding RNA. RefSeq lists it as uncharacterized. The transcript is spliced from 3 exons. NCBI's taxonomy places the organism in Eukaryota, Metazoa, Chordata, Actinopteri, Clupeiformes, Clupeidae. The record is from RefSeq and is a predicted model, not a curated record.